RNAcentral lists this ribosomal RNA (430 nucleotides) under uncultured bacterium. RNAcentral describes it as "bacterial SSU rRNA". It matches the Rfam family "Bacterial small subunit ribosomal RNA", at positions 355 to 786 of the family's 1533-position model. The record is from RNAcentral.
UGAGGAAUAUUGGUCAAUGGGCGAGAGCCUGAACCAGCCAAGUCGCGUGAGGGAAGACGGUCCUAUGGAUUGUAAACCUCUUUGUCGGGAGCAGCCACCUCACGAGUGAGUGGAAGGAGAGUACCCGAAGAAAAGCAUCGGCUAACUCCGUGCCAGCAGCCGCGGUAAUACGGAGGAUGCGAGCGUUAUCCGGAUUUAUUGGGUUUAAAGGGUGCGUAGGCGGACUGUUAAGUCAGCGGUCAAAUGUCGGUGCUCAACGCCGGCCUGCCGUUGAAACUGGCGGUCUUGAGUGAGCGAGAAGUAUGCGGAAUGCGUGGUGUAGCGGUGAAAUGCAUAGAUAUCACGCAGAACUCCGAUUGCGAAGGCAGCAUACCGGCGCUCAACUGACGCUGAGGCACGAAAGCGUGGGGAUCGAACAGGAUUAGAUACC